CCUACGGGAGGCAGCAGUGGGGGAUAUUGCACAAUGGGGGAAACCCUGAUGCAGCAACGCCGCGUGAGUGAAGAAGUAUUUCGGUAUGUAAAGCUCUAUCAGCAGGGAAGAGAAUGACGGUACCUGACUAAGAAGCACCGGCUAACUCCGUGCCAGCAGCCGCGGUAAUACGGAGGAUGCGAGUGUUCUCCGGAUUUAUUGGGUUGAAAGGGUGCGCAGGCGGAAUGUCCAGUCAGCGGUAAAAUUUCGGGGCUCAACCCCGUCUUGCCGUUGAAUCUGGCGUUCUUGAGUGAGCGAGAAGUAUGCGGAAUGCGUGGUGUAGCGGUGAAAUGCAUAGAUAUCACGCAGAACUCCGAUGGCGAAGGCAGCAUACCGGCGCUCAACUGACGCUCAUGCACGAAAGCGUGGGUAUCGAACAGGAUUAGAUACCCUAGUAGUC
This 439-nucleotide ribosomal RNA is filed under the name uncultured bacterium. Its description in RNAcentral is "partial 16S ribosomal RNA". It matches the Rfam family "Bacterial small subunit ribosomal RNA", at positions 338 to 795 of the family's 1533-position model. The record is from RNAcentral.